RNAcentral lists this ribosomal RNA (255 nucleotides) under uncultured bacterium. RNAcentral describes it as "partial 16S ribosomal RNA". It matches the Rfam family "Bacterial small subunit ribosomal RNA", at positions 524 to 776 of the family's 1533-position model. The record is from RNAcentral.
UACAGAGGGGGCAAGCGUUGUUCGGAAUUACUGGGCGUAAAGGGCGCGUAGGCGGCCUGCUAAGUCGAACGUGAAAUCCCUGGGCUCAACCCAGGAACUGCGUCCGAUACUGGUUGGCUUGAAUCCGGGAGAGGGAUGUGGAAUUCCAGGUGUAGCGGUGAAAUGCGUAGAUAUCUGGAGGAACACCGGUGGCGAAGGCGACAUCCUGGACCGGCAUUGACGCUGAGGCGCGAAAAGCCAGGGGGAGCAAACGGG